Molecule: long non-coding RNA, 7671 nt
Filed under: Heterocephalus glaber (naked mole-rat)
Lineage: Eukaryota; Metazoa; Chordata; Mammalia; Rodentia; Bathyergidae
Description: lncRNA (ENSHGLG00100050444.1)
Source: RNAcentral
GAGCCCUAAAAGUAUGACUGAAACCCUUUCCUUCUGUCUGAAGGGAAGCUGGUUAACCACCCAUGCCCACUGUAUGCCUUGGCUUGGGCAACCAGUAGCAUUGUGGCUGCUGGCUGUGACCGGAAGACUGUGGCCUGUGGAAAGGAAGGGCACAUGCUGCAGACUUUUGAUUACAGCCAGGACCCGCAGGAGCGGGAGUUCAGCAAGGCUGCAGCGAGUCCUGGGGGCCAGUCUGUUGUCCUGAGAAGUUAUGACAACUGCGGUGAUCAACUGGAGUCCUCGAAGAAGCAUCUGGGUAGAGGCGAAGCCCAAGGAGAUUGCCAACUUACACACCGUCACUGCCUUGGCCUGGAAGCGGGCGGGAUGCCUCAGGACUCUGCACAGGCGCACUCUGUGGUGCAGUGGAACAGUCUGACUGCUGCCUCCGAAGGAGCAUUUACAGGAAUAAGUUUGAGCUGACCUGUGUGGGACCCAGGCAGUUCUAGAUGCUGGGACAUCUAUGACCCAAGUGCAGCAGAUUCAGCAAGUGGUGAGGCCUGCUUCCUGGCUCACAGACCGCUGUCUUGCUGUGUCCUCACAUGGCAGAAAGGCCAGCAGCUCUCUGGGGUUGUUUAUAAGGGCUCCCAUGCCAUUCAUGAGGGCUCUGCCUCUUGACAUCAUUACCUUCUGAAGGUCCCAUCCCUAAUACCUGCUGUUGCAGGACUAAUCAAUUCUGGGGGGACAUAAACAUUUCAUUCAUAAUGAUGGGUCUAUAUUUGAUUUUGCUGCUUAAUCUUGCAGCCUGACCUUUCAAGGCUCCUGAGGGGAUACCUGAGGUCUCUCCACUCAGGCUGGACCCUGUGCCAUGGGGCUGGGCACUGUGCUCCUUCAAGACCUCCUUGCCCUCAGCAGCAGCUCUGUUGGGCCUCGUGGAAUUUCACAGUGCAUGCUGCUUCAAGAGCAGAUAGGCCCUGUGGAUUCCUAGGACAGCUAGAUGCCCGCUUCUUCCCCUUCCUGCCUAACAAGCCCCUGCUUUCCAAACAGCCCUGAUCUCUGAUCUCUCCUUCCAUAGCUCACCAAGACUGCACCUCUCCCUUUUUCUUUGUGGUGAUAAGGAAAUAAUGCACAACAGGGCAGGCCUUUGUCUGUUUGCCAAGCCUCUCUCCCACCAUGUUUUUGCCAUAAAAUGUUCUGUUCAAGCAAUGUAACUGUUUGAGCUGCAUGGUGUUCCUUCCUAAUGUUUCAAGAAUAUUCUGUUAACUCUACCCUUCUGCUUUUGUGAGCAUGCUCACCUGGUAUGUAGGCCCACCCCUCUACUCUGUAGGUCUUUAUAUAAGGUUGCUUCCAUUUCUGUUCGUGCCUCAGACUAUGGAGUAUGAACUCCUCUGAGCCUGCCAUUGUAAUAAUAAACUUGGUUCUCUCCAUCUUUCUGAGUGCCACCCUUGGUUUCUUCUCCUCUGGGGACCUUAGGAUAGCUGUAACAUUUGGCUGUAAUGCUGAGCUGUCACACUUCACUAUAAUAGUCUGGGGAUUGAAUCCAGGGCUUUUGCACUGAGCUAUAUCCCAUCUUUUCUUAAUGCUUUGUUUGUUUGUUUUAAAUUUUAUGACAGGGUCUUGCUAGUCAUUAAGUUGCCCAGGCUGGGGCUAGAACUUGUAAUCCUCCUGCCUCAGCCUCCUGAGUGCUGGGAUUACAGGUGUGGGGCACCAUGCCCUGCUGUCUCAAAACAUCUUUACAUAGCAUUUUUUUUUUUGGUACUGGGGAUUGAACUCAGGUCCUUGCACUUGUGAGACUGGAGGCAGAACCACUGAGCUAAAUCCCCGGCCCUCAAAACAUCUUUCGUGAGGGUGUAUAUCUGAAAAAUCACCCGAAUGAUUCAGAUGAAAAGGCCCCAGUGAGGUGCUCAGAAAUCAUGCUGUAUCCAAAAGUGAACAGAGCAGAAUCAGGUGGGUCACGGUGGUAUCUGCACUCUGUGGGGGCCAUGGGGACCCAACGCAGAGCACAGGGACCACUGCCCAGGGUGGGGGUGGAUGCUCCUGUGCCCCAGAUUCUGCCUGUGGCUCAGGGCAGUGUCAAUCGGCUCACUGUCUAUGGGGGAUUUGGCAUCUCCAUGGCUAGCCGGAGGAGGGACUUGGACCUCCCUGGAGAGUUGCAUGCGUUUGAAGUCCGAGUUGAGUUCCCAGUGUGGCCACUCACCAGCAACUCACUUAACUCCUUUGUGCCUCAGUUUGCUUAUCUGUGGAAAGAGAUCGCUUCAACAAUUCUUUCACAUGGUGGGAUUGGUUACUUCUUCUCUCUGUGCUCCCGAUUUCUCCAAUCCUCAGUGCCUGACCAAACUGUUUAGAAUAAUCUGGGGGUGGGGGUGAAGCUUCCUCACAAGAAGUUCUCAGCCAUCUCUUCAAAGGGAAGCUCUUCUGCAGCCUCCCCAUCUCCACCUUGGAAAUGUGCUCUGUGUACAUCUCUGUGAUUGCACUCACCAUGGUAUCUUAAUCUUUUAAAUGAUUUUUUAAAUUGUUAAAGUGAUAUAUGUUUGUUUAAAACAUUCAAGCAAUAUAGAGAACAAGUAAGAAAUAACGGUCCUCCUCUUUCUUUGCCAGCCCAGCACUACCCCACAGGGAAUCAUUUUAAUUUUCUUGUCUUCUUCCAAAAAAUAGUCUAUGCAUGGGCAAGCACGUGCACAUGCACGCACGCAUGCACACACACACUCACACACACACACACACUCAUGCAUGCACACCUCACAUACUCUUUUUGUUUUUCCACAGAGGGACCCUAGUCCCAUACACUGCUGUUUCUACUCUUCUUCCGCCCAUAUGUGGAAAGACCCCAGUUUCCAGCUCAGUCCGCUCCUGCAGGGCCCCAAGUCUGGUGCAGUCAUUGUUGUCCUGGUCUGUUCUCACCCCAAGUAGGGAGGCCGGGCUGCCUUUUGCUCUUGUCAGUGUCCCCAGCACCGGCCCCUAUCCUGGGCCUGCUCUAAAAGCAUGGAACUGAAUUCCAGUGCCCAACCCAGGAGGUUAUCAGUGGAGAAGGGGUCCCCCCAUUGGUUUCUGCCUCCCUUGGGCUCCACUACCAGGCUGACCCCCAUCCCCCACCCCAGCUUACCUCCCACUUCUAUGUCUCAGGCCCCCAGGUCCCCAUGGAAGUGUGGUCUCAGAAGAGCCCUCCUAUGGGUUGCCCUUGGGCCCCUUCCACACCUUCAGGGAGGAGGGAGGAGGCUGCUGAGUGCCUCCCUGGAGCCAGCUGGGCCCAGGGAUGGCUCCCCUGAGCAUGAAUAUUUUAUUCUCCUGCAGCAAGCAAGGCUGGAGUAGUCUGUGCCACACUGCCGCAAGCUGGCAAGGAGCUCAGGGUGUGGGGAUGGUGCAUGGGCUGAGGUUUCUCAUCCCCUCCAAGCCACUGCAGCAGUCAGGUCCCUCAGCUGAGCAGCGGGCUGCUCCCGGGCUGGAUGAGCAUGGCUGUCACCAGUCCCACAGUGUUCCUGCUUGCUGGCACCUUUGGGUGCUCCCAAAUGUCUCCUUAGAAUUCUGCUUUGUCAUUUGAGCCAUGUCUCUGCUUCCACCCCAGUCACUGCAAAGAAGGGGCUCAUGUCUGAGGGUCUCUCACCCUGCCUCCAGGUUGUGGGAACAGGAAAUGAGACCCAGGAUGAUGCAGGGACUGACUACAGUCACCCUGGGUGGCAGGCGGGAAAGCUCAGGGUCCCCCCCUCCCAGGAAGGGGCUUGUCCACCACUGACCUCACCCAGAAAGGUUAUGUUGCUCCCCACUGCAGCCAGCACCCGUCCCAAGCCCAGGAUGACCAUGAAAAUGGCUAAAACUUCAUAAAAUUUUCUGUACACCAGGUCUUCUUUGAGACACUUUAUAUACCAGUGUAUAUUCAUUUAAUAACUUGACAACUCCAUAAAGUAUAUUCCUUAUUUUACAGAGGAGAAAACUGAGGCCCAGAGCGGUUAAGUAAUGGGCCCAAGGUCACACAGCAAAUGACAGAGCUGAGAUUCAAACCUAUGCCAUCUGGCUUCAAAGUUGAUGGCCUUAAUCUUUGCACCAUCCUGCCGCUCAAAAUAACAAGUUCUGUUGGCCUCUGCCAAAAACAGUUCACAGACACUAUUUCGCUUAAUCCUUAUUACAGCUGUGUGAAAAAGAGAAUAUUCUCAUGGACCCUGUUUUGUAGAUGAGGCCAUUGAGGCUUGGACAGGAUGGUUAAGCUGGUGAUAGCCCCUCAGCUGGGGAGUGGAGUCAGGGCUUGACCCAAAUCUGGAGAUCCCAAGGCCCUCCCGUGGGUCCCUCCCAGGGCCAGGCUAGGACCAGCCUUGAGUUCACGAGCAUUCCCGGCCUGGGCAAGCAAGGCUGGGUCCUUAGGUCGGCAUAAGGCUGCACCAAAGGCUCCUCAGAAGCCAGAGGGAACUUCACGGCCACACGCUGGCUUCUCCCUUGGUUCAGAUGUCACCAGCAGGCUGUGCUGAACACCACAAGGCUUGAUGGGAUAAAGGCAUGGUCAGUGUUGGCCAGGGUCCAAGACCAGGUGGGCCCGGGGCUCUGGAGCUGGCAGAUCUGGGAGAUCUGGAGCUGGAAAUACUUUUUUGGAAUGCUGGGGAUGGAACCCAGGACCUCACAACUGCUGGGUGGGUGCUCUGCCACUGAGCUAUACCCCCAGCCUGGGGAAAUUAUUUUUAAUAACAUAUUUAACCUGAUAUAGCUAAAAUGCCAUUUUGAUAUCUGAUUGAUAUAAAAAUUAUUUAACAUUUCCCCCAGUAAGUCUUUGAGAUCUGAUGUGUAUUUUACUCUUGGAGCCCAGCAAGGUGGAGGAGCCACAGUUCAAGCGAUGGCAGCCACAUGUAGUGAGCGCAUGGUGCAGUGUAGGAAAACACUGUCCUCUGCCUUUUCUGAAGUCCUUAGCUGGACCCUCCCCUGUAAUAAGAGACAAGAGAAAAACACAGUGCUGUUUCUCAACACCAAUGCUUCUUGUAUCCAUGAGGGCUACCCAGAACAAAGAACAAGUCUCUAAGAGGUGGCUUGGAAUUUAGGGCGUAAGUACCACUGCCUGCUGAUGCUUGAUUAUAGGGUGAUGACCAGGUAAACAAGGUAAUAAGGUUUGCUAAGCCCAUUUAUCCAUGUCAUCUCUAUUGGUAAGAUUUUCUUGUGAUAUAGUCUUUUUUUCCUGUUACAGACAGGAAACCACUGGCGAUUAUAGUGAGGAAGAGGACACAGAUUCUCUUCUUGACCAAAAUUUACUCUGGAUCCUCUGGGCGAUCUUUUUUUGUACCAAGGAUUGAACUCAAGACCUUCCAAGACAGGCACAGCACCACUGAGCUCAAGUCCCCAGCCCUGGGCCAUCUUGUCUACCAGGUCCUGGUUGUUGGGCUUCCCAUUCAUCUUUGCAUUGCCUAGUGUUAGCAAAAUGCCUGCUAAAUUGGUUUAGCCAGGACUCCCCUCUUCAUAGCUGAACACACUGCCCAUCCCCACCAUCCUUAGGUGUAUUGAUCCCCAUAGUCACCCACAGCAAGGACAGAGCCGUCAGGUGUCCCCAACCCCAGGAGCAAGGACACUACAACUAGAGUAAUGAGGCCCAAUGGGUUGGUUGCUCACCCCACAGUAGAUGACAUUAGGAGCGAGAGGAAUAUUCUUUCUUUAGGAUCCAGUUUACUUUUCCUGUGACACAUUCUUAGAUCUGUGAACCACAUCUGAGGGAUGCAGUCAUCAUUUUUUGUUUGUUUGUCUGUUUAACAAAUAUGACUUCUUGUCUUCCUUGUGUCAGGGACUCUGUGAGUCACAGGAAAUACACAGGUGAGUAAGACUUGGCUCAUCCUUAGGAUCAACCACUGUGGACAAAUGGCAUCCAACAAUGUCACCAUCUCCAUCAUCGCCACCAUCAUCACCAUAACCAGGAUCAUGAAUUGCUGGACACCCACUAUAAGCCAGCUCUAGGGCUAAGGAGUUAAGUAAAUUCUAUUUUUGAAACAUGCUGAUAAUGUGGAACUACAAAUUCAUCCUUCAGGGACAAAUGUCAGAGACCUCAGGUUGCCCAGGAUUGGGCUCAGUCUGCACAGAGAGAGUGGUUUGGUUCCUGUCCCUCCACACAGGGCUUCUGUGGAGAGCAUCAGUACUGCCUGUCAGACUCCUCCCUGUCCUACGAGGCUAAGGCCUGUGGCACAGCCAGCUCUGUUCACAGUCACUUCCUGCCCUCUCUCCCAGUGCCCCACUGAUCUAAGUAGCCAGAUCCCACCAUAGAUGGGACUCCUGAUGGUCACUUGUAGGAACAUAUGUGAACAUGCAUGUGUGUCUUCCCUGAGCAAACCAGAGCAAGAGCUUUUGCACACUCCCACCACCUCAGCCCCUAUGACCCUCACAUGGGGUCAUAAACUGCACUUCUGUCAGCUGCUACAGAUGAACCUCCUCGGUUUCCAUAGGCCCACCUGCCUUCCCACUCAUGCCAAGACCCCGCUCCUGUCACCCAUGCAAGCAGUUGUUCUGCAUCAGCACAAGUUUCUGCUCUAGAGGAACAUCCUCCAAAACCUACACAUAGAACAUGCUCCCUCAGAUCUAAACACUGCUUCUUUCUUGAUCCUGUCUCCCUCUUCAACUACUUUCCCCUUUCUCUCUAUAAUGAAACUCUUCAAGAGUUAUCUGUACUCCCUGUUACCAAAUCUUCACCUUCCAUUUCCUUUGAGCCCUGUAAUCAGGCUGAUGCCUGCUCUGUUCUGAGUGGUUUCAAGCUUGCUGAUGGCCUCCAUGGUGCCAAGGUUCCCAGGCCUUGCUGAAUUGGACACAGCAAGAGUACUUGAUGCAGUUCAUUUCUCCCUCCUCUCUCAAACAGUUUUCCUUUGCUUUCCUUGUGCUGGGGAUUGAACUCAGCACCUGGUGCAUGCUAAGCAUAGCACUCUACUGAGCUACAAUGCUACUGCCAAAACAGGUGUUUUGUUUCAGUUUUUGUUUUUCUUUACUGGGGUUUGAACCCAGGGUCUUUGCACUGAGCUGCAUCCCUAGUCCUUUUUUAUUUUUAUUUUGAGAGAGGGACUCACUAAGUCACCAAGUUGCCUAGGCUAAGCUUGUUGCUUGCACUGUGAUCUUCCUGCCUCUUCCUCCCAGAGUUCUGGGAUUAUAGGCAUAUACCACCAUGUCCAGCUCUUCAUUUGACUUUCAAGAUAACACUCAAUCUGAGUUUUCUCUGCCUUGUAGGGCAUUCCUUCCUGGUGUCUUCUGCUGAUUUCCCCCUCAUCUUUCAGUCUUCAAAACCGGGAACAGGUACUAUCUGCCAAGUCCCGUCCACCAUCUGGCCCUGCCACUUCUAUAAACACAAGUUGUCAGAACGAGGUCAUUUGUUUUCCUGGUCUGUGUCAGCUCAACAGAACUGAAUAGAUGAAUGGUCUGAAAGCUGAAAAUACUUCUCUCUGGUCCUGUCCAGGAAAGGUCUAAAUAGUGGAGUGCCCCAGGCUCAGGCCUUGUCUUCUCAAACCACCUUGGGCCCCUCAGGUGACCUCAUCCAGACCAGGUCCCAGGCAUCAACCAGAGGAUGGCAUGUGUCCCUUCACGUCUGCAGCCCAGGUGUCUUUUCUGAAUUCCCAACCACAUACUGCACAUAUAUCCAGCUCCCUCAGACACAUUGAGAACUUAACAGUGCUGGGCACUCAGCCCCACCCCCCCUUCCAGCAGGAAAAAACCCUGUUUCUCCUGCAUGGUUCCUACAUCUCAGCAAGUGGCAGG